Molecule: ribosomal RNA, 408 nt
Filed under: uncultured bacterium
Lineage: Bacteria
Description: partial 16S ribosomal RNA
Rfam family: Bacterial small subunit ribosomal RNA
Source: RNAcentral
GACGAACGCUGGCGGCGUGCUUACCACAUGCAAGUCGAACGAAGUGGCGAACGGGUGAGUAACGCGUAAUCAACCUGCCCUUCAGAGGGGGACAACAGUUGGAAACGACUGCUAAUACCGCAUACUGAAGGAGGGGAUUGCGUCUGAGUAGCUAGUUGGAGGGGUAACGGCCCACCAAUGCGAUGAUGAGUAGCCGGUGUGAGAGGAUGACCGGCCACAUUGGGACUUAGACACGGCGCAGACUCCUACGGGAGGCAGCGGUGGGGAAUCGGCCGCAAUGGACGAAAGUCUGACUGAGCAACGCCGCGUGAGUGAUGACGGCCUGCGGGUUGUAAAGCUCUGAUAAUCGGGACGCGGUACCGGAAUAGAAAGCCACGGCUAACUACGUGCCAGCAGCCGCGGUAAUUC